UUUGAACGCAAAUGGCGCUCUCGGUUUCGCCGGGAGCACGUCUGUCUGAGCGUUUGUUUUUACAGUGUGUCAACCGGAAACAAAACGGCUGGCGCGCC
This 98-nucleotide ribosomal RNA is filed under the name Tethya sp. QMG318583. Its description in RNAcentral is "5.8S ribosomal RNA". Lineage: Eukaryota; Metazoa; Porifera; Demospongiae; Tethyida; Tethyidae. The record is from RNAcentral.